UGUACACGCUGUGACUAGCAUAUCAAUAAGCGGAGGAAAAGAAACUAACAAGGAUUCCCCUAGUAACGGCGAGUGAAGCGGGAAGAGCUCAAAUUUGAAAUCCUAAAGGGUUUCCCUUUACGAAUUGUAGUUUAAAGAAGUGUUUUCUGUUGAGGUUUUGGUAAAAGUUCUUUGGAAUAGGACAUCAUAGAGGGUGAGAAUCCCGUAUUUGACCUUUACUUUCAACUUUGAGAUACACUUUCAAAGAGUCGGAUUGUUUGGGAAUGCAGUCCAAAAUGGGUGGUAAAUUUCAUCUAAAGCUAAAUAUUGGCGAGAGACCGAUAGCGAACAAGUACCGUGAGGGAAAGAUGAAAAGAACUUUGAAAAGAGAGUUAAACAGUACGUGAAAUUGUCAAAAGGGAAGCGUUUGACACCAGUGUUGUUUUUCUGAAAAUCAAUUAAAGAACUGUUUAUGCUAAGUUGUUUAGACUUUAUCAGCUAUCUGUUUAGUUUUGAGCUUUUCUUUAAUGCACUUUUCAGUUAACAAGUCAACAUCAAUUUCUUUUGCUGUAAAAAAGCUUGAGGAAGGUGGCUUGAGACUCGUCUUAAGUGUUUAUAGCCUCUUGCCUAUGCAGUCGGAGAGAUUGAGGUCUGCAGCGUAGAUCCUUCGGGGCUAAAUGCAUUUGUGCUAAGUUAUAGCAUUUUAUAGACAACUUGUUGACUAUGAUUUGUCUUGUAGCUUACUCGCUUAUGUUAUUUUACCUACGCUUAGGAUGUUGAUAUGCAUGACUGAUAU
This 775-nucleotide ribosomal RNA is filed under the name uncultured Neocallimastigales. Its description in RNAcentral is "partial large subunit ribosomal RNA". It matches the Rfam family "Eukaryotic large subunit ribosomal RNA", at positions 22 to 636 of the family's 3401-position model. The record is from RNAcentral. Lineage: Eukaryota; Fungi; Neocallimastigomycota; Neocallimastigomycetes; Neocallimastigales.